GUGGGGAAUUGUUCACAAUGGGCGCAAGCCUGAUGACGCAACGCCGCGUGGGGGAUGAAGGUCUUCGGAUUGUAAACCCCUGUCGAAUGGGACGAAAGACUCGCGCGUUAAUACGGCGCGAGAGUGACGGUACCGUUAAAGGAAGCCACGGCUAACUCUGUGCCAGCAGCCGCGGUAAUACAGAGGUGGCAAGCGUUGUUCGGAAUUACUGGGCGUAAAGGGCGCGUAGGCGGCCCACUAAGUCAGACGUGAAAUCCCCCGGCUUAACCUGGGAACUGCGUCUGAUACUGGAGGGCUUGAGUAUGGGAGAGGGAUGUAGAAUUCCAGGUGUAGCGGUGAAAUGCGUAGAUAUCUGGAGGAAUACCGGUGGCGAAGGCGGCAUCCUGGACCAUUACUGACGCUGAGGCGCGAAAGCUAGGGGAGCAAACGGGAUUAGAAACCCCAGUAGUCC
RNAcentral lists this ribosomal RNA (451 nucleotides) under uncultured bacterium. Its description in RNAcentral is "bacterial SSU rRNA". It matches the Rfam family "Bacterial small subunit ribosomal RNA", at positions 354 to 796 of the family's 1533-position model. The record is from RNAcentral.